This 1077-nucleotide long non-coding RNA is filed under the name Gossypium barbadense (sea-island cotton). RNAcentral describes it as "long non-coding RNA (GBAR_LNC019445)". The record is from RNAcentral. Lineage: Eukaryota; Viridiplantae; Streptophyta; Magnoliopsida; Malvales; Malvaceae.
AUUAAGAUUUUCAAAAUCUCCUUCCUUUAUGUACUUUCCAAUGGAUUAUCACAAUUCCAUCUAGGUAUGAAAUUAUGAAGUAUAUGCAAUAUGCUUAAUCUUUUUUAUGUUACAUUGAGGUCAUGUUGUUAAUAUGAGAAAUAUUCUUUUAGAACAAUAAAUAUAUUCUCAAUCACAUUUCGAAGCUUUGAACAUAUUAGAUUAAAGAGUUCAUGAGUUAAUUAUUUUUUAUAACACUUUUUUUUAUAAAUAAAUAUAUUAUUUUUUACGAACAUAAAUAAGUUAUGUAAUACCCAAUUUUGCCCAGGCCCAUUAAAACCCAAUUUGAAAUAAAACUAAGUGGGAGUCCAUAUUACAACCCAAAUUCGGCCUAAUAAUGCCCAAAUUGCUAGCCCUAGCCUGUUAGCCCAAAAGAACAUAGGGUAUAGUAGAAACCCUAAGCAGAUUGAAGCAAAUCGGUGCCGCAGCAACUGCCCACGACAUGGCAACGGUUUCCACCCACGUUCAGCAAUUCCCCACACCCACCAUGCACGUUCUUCACCUGCAACAAACCAUAAACAGCAUUAUAGGAUCGAAUAUACAGCAAAAAAAAGGGGGAAAAUUUAGUGGAUGCUUUCCGGUAAAGAUUGGCUAUAAAGUCAAUCGAUUUUUGUAAGAGGGGGUUACACACAUAUAUUGAAAAAGACUGAAAUACGAAAAAAAGAAUCAGAAAAAAACAAAUUUUUGAAGGUGAUUUUUGUUCUUUCCAAGUCUUUUUACUUUUUCUGUUUUUUUGGUCUCAUCUUUUUCUUUUGUAUUUUACUUCAUUUUUUUUAAAAUAAAACGAAAAGUAAAAGAAAGGGAGGAGAUUCUUACCAGCAGAGGCGCGCCGUCGGCAUAGUUUUCUUCGCUUUGUCCAAAUCGAAGUUAAAAGGGGAGGGGGUUUUGGCGUGAAGAGUUGGGAAGAAGAUGAAAUAGUUUUUAAAGCUAUUGCUGCUGCAGAAUAGCGUUUAAAUUUGAGAUUGAAAAGGGUUUUAAGUACUGAUGGGUUAUUUACGCUUUUAAUCCUUCCAUUUUAUCCCACCAUUUCAAAAUUAU